UACGGAGGGUGCAAGCGUUAUCCGGAUUCACUGGGUUUAAAGGGUGCGUAGGUGGGCAGGUAAGUCAGUGGUGAAACCUCCGGGCUUAACUCGGAAACUGCCAUUGAUACUAUCUUUCUUGAAUACCGUGGAGGUCAGCGGAAUAUGUCAUGUAGCGGUGAAAUGCUUAGAUAUGACAUAGAACACCAAUUGCGAAGGCAGCUGGCUACACGAAUAUUGACACUGAUGCACGAAAGCGUGGGGAUCAAACAGG
This 253-nucleotide ribosomal RNA is filed under the name uncultured bacterium. Its description in RNAcentral is "partial 16S ribosomal RNA". It matches the Rfam family "Bacterial small subunit ribosomal RNA", at positions 524 to 776 of the family's 1533-position model. The record is from RNAcentral.